AUUGAACGCUGGCGGCAUGCUUUACACAUGCAAGUCGAACGGCAGCACGGGGGCAACCCUGGUGGCGAGUGGCGAACGGGUGAGUAACACAUCGGAACGUGCCCAGUUGUGGGGGAUAACCUAUCGAAAGGUAGGCUAAUACCGCAUGAGCUCGGCAAGAGGAAAGCGGGGGACUCAGCGAUGGGCCUCGCGCGACUGGAGCGGCCGAUGUCCGAUUAGCUAGNGGUGGGGUAAAGGCUUACCAAGGCGACGAUCGGUAGCUGGUCUGAGAGGAUGAUCAGCCACACUGGGACUGAGACACGGCCCAGACUCCUACGGGAGGCAGCAGUGGGAAUUUUGGACAAUGGGGCAACCCUGAUCCAGCCAUGCCGCGUGAGUGAAGAAGGCCCUCGGGUUGUAAAGCUCUUUCGGUGGGAACGAAACGGUGGGGUCAAUACCCUCCACUACUGACGGUACUCACAAAAGAAGCACCGGCUAACUACGUGCCAGCAGCCGCCGCCGU
RNAcentral lists this ribosomal RNA (502 nucleotides) under uncultured bacterium. RNAcentral's name for it is "bacterial SSU rRNA". It matches the Rfam family "Bacterial small subunit ribosomal RNA", at positions 29 to 524 of the family's 1533-position model. The record is from RNAcentral.